RNAcentral lists this long non-coding RNA (1043 nucleotides) under Homo sapiens (human). Its description in RNAcentral is "HSALNT0301603". Lineage: Eukaryota; Metazoa; Chordata; Mammalia; Primates; Hominidae. The record is from RNAcentral.
UGCUGGGAUUACAGGCGUGAGCCACCGCGCCCGGCCAGUAGUACCUUUUUCAGUUUCCUUAUUUUGCAUCAUCUGAAGUGGGGGUAGGUUUUCUGCACUUACCAUGGGCACUUGAUAUGGCCCAUUAUGAUGCAGUCACCAUAAGGCUGUGUGAAUAUUAGUCACAUUCUACAGAUGAGGACACUAAGGCUGAGUGGCUUAAUAAUCUUCAGCGAUCUUAAUGCCUGUCACUUAACCUUCCUAGGCAUCAGUUUCCUCAGCUGUGAAAAGGGAAUAUUAACUUCAUUACAAGGUUAUCAGGAGGAUGGGUAACCAACCAUCUUCAGUCUGUAUGUCUCUCCAAUGCAUCCUGAAUCACUGGGAUUCCUUUGAAAAGAGAAAAUCAACCUUCUUCUUCCUGUUUCCUCCUCUGUCCUCUCUUCAUGGAUGAAUAAUCAUGUCUCCAUACCACAGGACAUUUCCCUCUGUGAAAAGUUUAAUUUCUGCAUUAAACCACUUGGCUUAAAAAAAAAUGAACUGGGAAGACAUUAUAACUCACAUUCCCCUCUGUGAAAAGUUUAAUUUCCAUAAACCUUAAAUCACUUGACUUAAAAAAAAAAUGAACUGGGAAAACUCUAACUGAGCAAUCUCUUGAGGAAGGACAAUGUUUACAGUAUGCAAAUAACCUAUUUGUCUGCUCCCCCUUUACGGAACUCCAGGGUCAAAGGGCUUCAUAGCUCGGGGGAAGGGAACCCAGAAGCCUGACAUGCUGGCAAACGAGUAAAAGUUUUUUACCCAUCAGACUUCUGGCUUUUCUCUCUCUCUGUGCAAACUGUUUGAAUGAAUGAUAAAAAUCACUGUUUAUAUACUCUGAAACGUUGUGAUUAAUGGAAAAAGGAUUUGUGAGGUGAGUCUUAAGCUAUAGAGAAUCUGUGAUACUUUGUGUUAAGAAUUUCUCUUUCUGUAUCUUUCUAUCAGAAAGAGGGGUACCUUAGGAUAAAAUGUGGGUCUAGGCCCAAAUGUCCAACAAUGAUAGACUGGGUUAAGAAAAUGUGGCACAUAUA